AUGCUCCUUAUCCAGAUGAUUGGGUGGAUACUGCUUUUGCCCCUCAGGGGAAACCCAGAGGUCCUCUUGGUGAAUUACCAAAGUGGAGUCCUGUUCCUGAGCCUGGGCUGGAUGCCAGAGGUCCUGAGAAAUGGAAAGAGGCAUCGAAAACUGGAAAAUAUCCGCAGAGGCUCUCCCAUGUCCUGAAGAAAAUGAUGAAGGAGAAGGCAGCACAUGUGCUGUCAGAGCCCCAGAAAGCCCAACACAGCUGGAUCUAUGGUUUUUUUCUGAAGAAUCCAGGUGUGGAUGGUGAAGGACGUGCAAACGCCGAGCAAGUUAAAGAUGCACAGAAGUUGUACCUGGAACUUGCCGCAUCUGUCCCGGUUUCCCUAUUGCUAACGAUGAUUCUGUGCUGUCUUCUUUUCUGGUGGUGCAGGAAGAGAAAGCAGCGGUGGGAGUGGCCCCCCCAAGAUGUCAGCUCAGGGGCUUCAUCAGAAAACUGGAAUACAUCCCACCACUGGGGAAAGAGAUCUGGUCCAGCAGCCCUCAGCAGCCCCAAGCAUGGCAUCUGCCCUACCGCUCCUCUCCGCUAUCCAUCAGGAGGUGGGAGCGGCCCCCAGCAUGUGGGUUUGCAGACACCAUCUGACAUCCACACAUCCACUGCUGGCAUCAAACGGAGUUUUCCAGGCUCCACUGUACCACUAAAUAGAAAGUAGUGGCUUUGGGACACUAUCUAGCAUCCACAGAACCACUACUGUCAUGUACCAGAGAUUAUCAGGCUCCACAAUACCAAUAAACAGAAAAUAGCACCACA
RNAcentral lists this long non-coding RNA (793 nucleotides) under Phasianus colchicus (ring-necked pheasant). RNAcentral's name for it is "lncRNA (ENSPCLG00000016147.1)". The record is from RNAcentral. Lineage: Eukaryota; Metazoa; Chordata; Aves; Galliformes; Phasianidae.